This is a non-coding RNA of Podarcis lilfordi (Lilford's wall lizard), 4858 nucleotides long. Lineage: Eukaryota; Metazoa; Chordata; Lepidosauria; Squamata; Lacertidae. The record is from the annotation of a GenBank genome assembly.
ACCGGCUCAGAGUCAGGAGACUGGUGGUGGGAUGCAUAUGAGUGGUCAGAGGGAGAAGACGGAGCAGACUGGGAAGAGGAGAUGUCAUAAGGUGAAGAGGUAACUGAGUUUAGUGAACAAGAAGAGGCAGUGGCAGAAAGCAGUCCAGAAUCAGAGGCAAUAGUAGAGGCAGAGAGGAAAGAUGCAAAAUGAAGCACGCUGCUGAAGAAGCCAGAUGUUCACCCUCUCCUGCUACAACCAGCUCACCUCCCCCCUGGUCUUGCAGGACCAGAAGAGGUAUGAAGAGGGCGGACCAGAUACAUACACAUUGAAGGAGUCUUGGAUUGCUUGGGAAGGACCUGAAGGGGAGGAGGCUUAGGCAACUAUGGGAAGGUGAGGACCUUCUGAGCUGUGGUAUUGCUGGCCUGUUCCUGUCACCUGCCUCUGCCACCUGCAUACAUUUCCUAGCUGGAUGAGAAAAGCAUCCAAAAGUGAGUUCUGGGUGCUGGUUCAUUCUCAAAUCUCACAUCCAUCUCUCCAAAGAACAGCUGAUUGGUGCUAUUACUGACUGCUUAAUGCCUACUGAGUACACAAAAUGAAUCAUCUCAAGAGAGCAAAAACAGCAAAGAAAGAGAAUUGUAUUUCUCCAUAUAAAUCUUUAAAGUAAGCAAUAGCAUUCACAUACAGUGACUCACUAACAUUGCCUAACACCAAUAUUUAACUAUCCAAGAACCUGCAGUUAUAUAAUACAGAUAGUUGUGAGGCUAUUUUUAUUUACUUUAUCUUAUUCAGAUUUAUAUUGCUUUAUAUUUCAACAGAAAUCCCUAGGCAGUUUGAAUACCACUCCCAAAAAAUACAACACAGAGUGAUUGAGUUGUCACCAUUGUCCCACCAAUGAGGAAACAAGGCUGUGCCCAACAACCUACAAUUUGGAAGGUAGGGUGGUAAAAGUUGUGCUUAAAGCUUUUGCUGCUUCACCAGUCCAGAACUGGUAGGGACUGGCAGGGCUCCAAAGAACCAUCCCUUCUGUGUGGCAGAGGCAGGGGACCAGGGGAGUGAUCCAGGAAGAGAGGACGGGUGAUUUAUGGGGUGUAAGGCAGCAGCCAGGGAGGAAGGACAAUCAGGGCACUCCGAGGCAGAGGAAGGCAGGAAAAAUGUGAUGGAGAAGGAAGGGAUGGUUCAGGCAAGGGACAUGCCAGAAGAUUCCCCACCUUUCCCCUGCCCCACUGUUUCCAAGAACCAUGAGGGGCUUGAAAAUAGAAGAGCAGGAGAAGUCUCCAGUUGUGGGCACACAAUCUUUCAGAGAAGGGUAUAUAAGCUGGAGGAUGCCCCGCCCACUGUUUAACUGUUUCAUAGGGCUCAGACCUAGAGGCUAAAAGCAUAUGGGUGUGUGUAUCAGGAGGACCAUGGAAGUUGCUGUUAAGUGUUUCUCAUGCCAAUAAGAAGUUAACUAUCGGAUGUGUGUUUCUUCCUUCUCUGGGAUAAAGGUAAAGGUAAAGGGACCCCUGAACAUUAGGUCCAGUCGUGACCGACUCUGGGGUUGUGGCGCUCAUCUCGCUUUAUUGGCCGAGAGAGCCAGUGUACAGCUUCUGGGUCAUGUGGCCAGCAUGACCAAGCCGCUUCUGGCGAACCAGAGCAGCACACGGAAACGCCGUUUACCUUCCCGCUGGAGCGGUACCUAUUUAUCUACUUGCACUUUGACGUGCUUAUGAACUGCUAGGUUGGCAGGAGCAGGGACUGAGCCACAGGAGCUUACCCCGUCACGGGGAUUCAAACAGCCGACCUUCUGAUCAGCAAGUCCUAGGCUCUGUGGUUUAACCCACAGGGCCACCAGUGGCAAUAAUACUGUCGAAGCUCCUUUCUCCCCACAGGAUUCCAAAUGUGUGCUUGUGAUGCCAGACAAAAUUGUACAAGACUCUAAGUUUAAGAAGAAACAAAUGAACUUUCCUCUGAGCAUCAGAUGAAUUUGUCUUAUUCUGGAGGACAGUUUGCCUCAGUCACUGGACAACUUUCCAUUACAGCCUCCUUCUUUGACUCUGCCUCCUUUGGUCACAUCAUUACCGAGAGCCAUAGAAACGGAACUACAAAUUGUUCCCAGCUUUCAGUUCAGUGAAUAUCUAAUUUGGUGAGGGGUGUAGCCGAAGAUAGGGAAGACAUAAUUUGUGGAUCACAUGAAAUAUGGAGCACACAUUAAUUUAAUUUUGAUUUGCAUUCACAUUUUGUUCUGACAUUUGACAUUUUAAAAGUCUGGAAUUGUUGAUCAACAGAAGAAGAAAAAUCAAUACUUGCUUUAACAGGGUUGUUUUUUUGCCAUAUCAGAGAUGAAUUUGAACAGUUUCAUUUAUAAUGGAAAUGUCCAUUUGGAGCAGACAGUGAGCAAAAGAGCAACAGAAGAUCUGCAUUUUUACUUACCAGAAAAGUCAACUUAUGAUUACAUUCAGCUUUUUCAAAUGAUUCUUUGAUAGAAGCCACUGAGUAUUUUGCUGGAUUUGAAUAUCACAGGUCAAAGUUCAAAUUCCAUCUCAGCUAAGAAAUCACAAGGCGAUCUUUGUAGACUACCAUUAAUAACCAGUGUCUUGUCAGUGGACAUUUUUGAAAUGAGUUAAAGUCCAACCUUUUCCAGCCCAGAUCCUAAAACAUUUGGGAUAAUGCAGCAGAUGACUAGGCAGAGGCAUGGAAAAUAAGGGUGUGUGUGUGUGUGUGACAAGUACAGAGAAAGACUUACCGUAUCUUUUUUGAAAACCAUACUUUCCUACACACACACACUAUACCAUCGCAAAUAUUAUAUAUAAUUACAUAAUACUUAUUCUUCAGAAGAGACAGUUGCACUUGAAAAAAAAGUAGUAUACAGAUGAAAGCAACCCAGCUAAUUUGAAACAGUUCAAUUUAAUUCUGAAAUACUAACUUACUGGAAGACCAGCUGUUCCCCUCUUUCCCCAAAAGUGUCAAGAUAUGAUUACUUCUGUAAGAUAGUCAUUAUUGCAAAGCUUGAAAAGAAAUUAGGAAGAGGGCCUGUCAGUACAUUUCAUAGCAAGUCAAAAGAUGAGUCAGCCAGAGAAAAUAAGAGAUGUUGCAAAGGCAGGAAUAGUAGUAGUUCUUUACAUCUCUAGAAUUCCCAAGUUAAAUAAGAACUUAGGAAAGCUCUGCUGGAUCAGGUAAAAGACGUGUCUAGUUCAGCACCCUGUUUCCACACUGGUCAAUCAGGCCUGAACGCAACAGCACCCUCUACAUUUACAAUUUCCAAAAAUUGGUUUUCAAAGGCAUAAUGCCUCCAAAGGUGGAGGUAGAACAUAGCCAUCAUGAUUACCAGAUGUUGAUAGGCUUUUUCUCCAUCAAAUCUAAGCUUAACUAUGAAUUUCAUAAAGUAGUAGCUGUAUUAUACAAUUUGCAUUCUUUUUCUUUUUAAAAAAGUUCAUAUUGCUGAUAAUGGGAGCGUUUCCACUAUUGGAAAUUGCUGUGGGGUGGGUGAGGAGGCAAGUAUUAAACUUCCCCUCUCCAUGCACUGUGAUCCUGAUCCAGAUUUAGACCCAUGCUUAAUUCUGAGCAGGAAAAAAAGCACAUACAUAGCUAUGUAGUAAACAUAGUGUGCUAUUCGACUCUUGUGUGCUGAUGCAGUAAAUGGCCAUUGGUGUGGCUGUGUAAGGUAACUUCAGGUUUUCAAAUUUUAUCUUGUCUUGUUAGCGUAGCCCCAUUAUGAAAUUCCAUAGAAUUAAAACCUACAGAUGCAAGAACUGAAAUGAAAUACACAACUGUUAACAGUUAACAUUUGAUCAUACAUAAGCACCUUUUUACACAAAUAACCGAACCGUUGUUUUUUUUUUAAUGUGAGAUGAGAUCACUUCCAGAUCUUGCAACAAUAUCUGGGAAUAAUUUUAGCUCACAAAUCUUAUAUUUAUCUAAGCAGAACUGCAUUUUCAGAAGCUGUGUUUUACCCAACAUUUUACCUUGAUCUUUUAUGGGCUUAAAGCUCAUAAGUGUGCCAAACGGUUAUUAAGUGGCCAUGUGGCUUUAGCAAUAUUAUGCUACCUUUAACCCUUAGAGACCAAUAAAGAGGGUAUGACCUUUAUUUCUUGUAGGUGCCAAGUAUGCUCUUAUCAUCUCCAGGCUAAAGUAGUUUAUUGCAACUAUCUUAAGUCAACCCAAGAAGAGCUAUUGGGAGCCAUAGGGUAAGAUUAAAGGCAAAUUGAAAAAGCGCAAUGCUUCAGCAGCAUUGGUGACAAGCACUAACACCAAAAAUGCUGUCAAAAAAAUAGACUUUGACCUUGUCUCUGCCACAACAGUUAAUAUCAACUGCUCAAUAAGAUGCUCUUAUUGUUAGGCCUUGGAGAUAAUCCAUUCAAAUCUCCCAAUAGUCUAUUUUCAGUGAAAGUGUACCAGGGAGGAGACAUUGGACUCCCUCGUUGAUCAUUCACAGUCUGAACUAGUGGCUGCUUGGAAGAGCAAGUCGCGGCCAUUCCUGGUGAGUGAAUUUGCUUCAGCCAUUCUUUGGGAGCACUUCUGUCAGUUGGGCUGGGCUUUUGCCUGCUAGCCAAAGCAGCAGGUUGAAGAAUUCCUUCACAGGCAGAUACACCCAUAAGAAAGCACCCCAAAAGGCUUUCUGUGGAAAGCGAGGAUGCUUUUUCACAUGCAAUUAUCCUCUCGUUUUGACUAUGUCGGACCUGCUCCUGAGGAAAUUUGCAGUGCUCUUCUUGGCAGUGUUUCACAUGUACAGAACAUGUGAGAUGUCAUGGAAACCAUGAGACUCAGGUGCAAGUAUACCUUGAACAAAUGCCAACACAAUAUAAUCCUCAGUUCUAGGUGUCACUAUAGGGCUAGGUAACUCACUUUUUGUGUUUGUCUGUCUUUCUUCUUUUCAACUUAUAAAUGGCAUCCUGAUUGG